GCAGCAGACCGGUCUGUCGCUCACAUUCUAUGUGGGAGGAACGUCCGGGCAACGCAGAGCACCAUACUUCCUAACGGGAAGCUGUUUGUGAGAGCAGAGUAAUGUAACAGAAAAUAACCGCCGGCUUGCCGGUAAGGGUGAAAAGGUGAGGUAAGAGCUCACCGGGUUGCGUAGCAAUACGCGAUGCCGUACGUCUUAUGGGUUGUAAGGUCAUGUAUACCGGCGCAGUAGGAUUGCUCGUCCGAUGCCGGGGGGUAGACCGCUAGAGCCAGUUGGCGACAACUGGUCGAGAUAAAUGGCAGACGCCUUUGUUUUCGGACAAAGGUACAGAACCCGGCUUAUAGGUCUGCUGCAAUU
Molecule: non-coding RNA, 357 nt
Organism: Macellibacteroides sp. HH-ZS
Lineage: Bacteria; Pseudomonadati; Bacteroidota; Bacteroidia; Bacteroidales; Porphyromonadaceae
Source: Rfam